This 408-nucleotide ribosomal RNA is filed under the name uncultured Methylomirabilota bacterium. Its description in RNAcentral is "bacterial SSU rRNA". It matches the Rfam family "Bacterial small subunit ribosomal RNA", at positions 1027 to 1434 of the family's 1533-position model. The record is from RNAcentral. Lineage: Bacteria; Methylomirabilota (SeqCode).
CGUGGAGACAGGUGGUGCAUGGCUGUCGUCAGCUCGUGUCGUGAGAUGUUGGGUUAAGUCCCGCAACGAGCGCAACCCUUACCCCUUGUUGCCAUCAGGUCAUGCUGGGCACUCUAGGGGAACUGCCCCGGUCAACGGGGAGGAAGGUGGGGACGACGUCAAGUCAUCAUGCCCCUUACGUCCUGGGCUACACACGUGCUACAAUGGCCGGUACAAAGGGAUGCAAAAUCGCGAGGUGGAGCCAAACCCAGAAAGCCGGUCUAAGUUCAGAUUGGAGUCUGCAACUCGACUCCAUGAAGGAGGAAUCGCUAGUAAUCGCGCAUCAGCACGGCGCGGUGAAUACGUUCCCGGGCCUUGUACACACCGCCCGUCACACCACGAAAACCAGCUGUACUCGAAGUCGCUGAG